AUUCAAUGGGUCAGAUCAGAGGAUUCUUCAUUUUAGGCCUUCUAAAAUCUGGAUCUUGCUCUAAGUGUAGGCCCACCUUUUUUCCACGCAGAUGUCACAACCGUUUCGACUCACUCCAUAUAAAGCAAUUUGUCUAUCACUCUUAACUCUCUCUGUCUCUCCCUCCUUGCGAGGUAUAUGAAAAACAAAAAACCCUAGAUACAUCUUUAAGGAUGUACGGUCAAGGCGGAGGUGAAGCUGCUCCGCCUUCAUACGGUGGUGGAUAUGGAGGUGCUGGAAGCUAUAGUAGUGGCAGUGGAGGUUACGCAGGAGGAGGUGGUGGUGUUGGUGUUGGCAGUGGCUAUAAAGGGAACAGUGGUUAUGGUGGAGGCGGCGGUGGACGUGGGGGAGGUCACAGCGGCCGCGGUGGAGGCAGAGGAGGUGGUGGAGGAUAUGGUGGUAGUUCUCAAAAUCGAGGAGGCGGUGGAGGCUAUCAAGGAGGAGACCGUGGUGGAAGUGGCAGAGGUGGUGAUUGGCUUUGCCCUAACCCCAGCUGUGGGAACUUGAACUUUGCAAGAAGAGUUGAGUGUAACAAAUGCGGUGCACCAUCUCCCGCGGGUGCUGGUGAUCGUGGUAGUGGUGGUUAUAACAGAGGAGGUAGUGAUGGGGGAUAUGGCGGUAAUCGUGGAGGUAGAGAUGGGAGUAGAGGUGGUUAUGAUAGUGGGAGGAAUAACAGCUAUGAUGGAGGCAAAGGUGGAAAUUAUGAUAAUAGAAGUGGUGGUAGUAGAGGUGGUUCUUAUGGAGGUAGUCAAGAGGGCAAAGAUGGUGGGUAUGGUCAAGUACUUCCUCCACCGUCCAAUACUUAUGGUGGUGCUGCUGCUGGCUAUUAUCCACCUGCUCCUGAUGCAUAUGGUGGGAAUGCAAAUUAUGGAAAGGAUUCAGUUGGUCCUCCUGCUGGUUAUGGUGGUGAGGGUUUGCGUGAUGUGAGGACUGGUGGUCGGAGUGGACAUUCUGGUGGAUAUGACAAUGGGUAUGGGUCUGGCGAUCCUCGACAUCAGGGAGGUUGUUAUGGUGGUCGUCAUGUUGAUGCACCAGCUAAGAUCAAGCAGUGUGAUGGCAACUGUGGGGAUUCUUGUGACAACACAAGAAUAUACAUGUCAAAUUUGCCACCUGAUGUUACUAUUGAAGAAUUAAGAGAACUUUUUGGCGGCAUUGGACAAGUUGGAAGAAUUAAGCAGAAGCGUGGCUAUAAAGAUCAGUGGCCUUGGAAUAUUAAAAUAUACGCAGAUGAGAAAGGAAACCAGAAAGGCGAUGCAGUUUUGUCUUAUGAAGAUCCUCAGGCUGCUCACUCUGCUGGCGGUUUCUUUCACAAUCACGUCAUGAGAGGCUAUACAAUCAGUGUGGCUAUGGCAGAGAAGACUGCACCUAAAGUAUAUAAUCAUGGAGGUGGUAAAGGUGGCUAUGGAGGUGGUGGGGACAGGCGCAGGGAUAAUCAACGAGAUGGAGGUUCUGGGCCAGAUAGACAUCACUAUGGUGGAAACCGUUCACGCCCAUACUGAGAGACUUUCAGCAUCAGAGUAUUUUCUGUACUAAGAAAUGUGGUCUGAGGGUUGUAGUUGUGUUCCCUUUACAGGGUUGUUCUUGAACAGGAGACAAAGAGAGGCAAGUGGAUUAACUCCAAAUUUCUUGCUGCUAAGGUAGGUUGAUAAUUUCAGGUGAGUGCUGCUCUUUCAAAUCACACAUUUACUCUUUUGUUUGGCAAUUAACCUUUAGUGGUGGAUUUGAUUUUGUUGCCUGUCUGCAUAUCAUUCACUGUGGAGGAACAAGUGCAUGAAUAAUAUACAUGCAUUAAUCUGUUGGACAAUUGAAGAAUUAGAUUUGUAUCCUUCUGUGGCAGCAUAUCUAUCCUAAACUAUUUCACAAUA
Durio zibethinus is the source of this 1904-nucleotide RNA transcript. It is a transcript of the gene named transcription initiation factor TFIID subunit 15b-like, with no coding region annotated. NCBI's taxonomy places the organism in Eukaryota, Viridiplantae, Streptophyta, Magnoliopsida, Malvales, Malvaceae. The record is from RefSeq and is a predicted model, not a curated record.